ACCCCGGGAGGGGAGUGAAAGAGAACCUGAAACCAUAUGCCUACAAGAAGUCAGAGCCCGUUAAAGGGUGAUGGCGUGCCUUUUGUAGAAUGAACCGGCGAGUUACUGUAUGGAGCGAGGUUAAGCAGGAUAUGCGGAGCCGAAGCGAAAGCGAGUCUUAAGAGGGCGCGAGUUGCAUGCAGUAGACCCGAAACCGGGUGAUCUAGCCAUGACCAGGUUGAAGUUGGGGUAAAACCCGAUGGAGGACCGAACCGACCCCCGUUGAAACGUUGGCGGAUGAGUUGUGGCUAGGGGUGAAAUUCCAAUCGAACCCGGAGAUAGCUGGUUCUCCCCGAAAUAGCUUUAGGGCUAGCGUCGAGAGAAGAGUUGCGUGAAGGUAGAGCACUGAAUAUGUGAUGGCCCCAUCUCGGGGUACUGAGCAUAAUCAAACUGCGAAUGUCACGCCAACAUGCUCGGCAGUCAGACAGCGGGUGAUAAGGUCCGUUGUCAAGAGGGAAACAGCCCAGACCAUCAGCUAAGGUCCCAAAAUGUAUGCUAAGUGGAAAAGGAUGUGGAGAUGUACAGACAACUAGGAGGUUGGCUCAGAAGCAGCCAUCCUUUAAAGAGUGCGUAACAGCUCACUAGUCGAAUGACUCUGCGCCGAUAAUUUACCGGGGCUAAGCAUACUACCGAAGCUAUGGAUCCCAAGGGAUGGUAGGGGAGCGUUCCAUGAACGGAGAAGUACGACCGAAAGGACGUGUGGAGAUCAUGGAAGAGAGAAUGCCGGUGUGAGUAGCGGAACGUGGGUGAGAAUCCCACGCACCGAAAACCCAAGGUUUCCAGAGGAAGGUUCGUCCGCUCUGGGUAAGUCGGGACCUAAGGCGAGGCCGAAAGGCGUAGUCGAUGGACAACAGGUAGAGAUUCCUGUACCCGUAUAUAUGUGAAGGAAUGACGGAGAGAGGAAGCUGCAGCCAGCGGCUGGAAGAGCUGGUGCAAGCGAGAUAUCGGGAUGGCAGGCAAAUCCACCAUCCGAAACGAGAAGGCGUGAAGCGUACGGAAAGCUACGGCGAGUACGGAAGGCAGUGGAGGAACUUCCAAGAAAAGUUUCUAACGUUAAGUAUAUAUGGCCCGUACCGAAAAUGGACACACAUGGGUGAGGAGAGAAUCCUAAGGUGAGCGAGAGAACUAUAGCUAAGGAACUCUGCAAAAUGACUCCGUAACUUAGGGAGAAGGAGUGCUCAUAGAGAUAUGAGCCGCAGUGAAACGGCCCAAGCGACUGUUUACCAAAAACACAGCUCUCUGCUAAGCCGCAAGGCGAAGUAUAGGGGGUGACGCCUGCCCGGUGCUGGAAGGUUAAGGGGAGGGGUUAACGCAAGUGAAGCCCUGAACUGAAGCCCCAGUAAACGGCGGCCGUAACUAUAACGGUCCUAAGGUAGCGAAAUUCCUUGUCAGGUAAGUUCUGACCCGCACGAAAGGCGUAACGAUUUGGGCGCUGUCUCAGCUGUAGACUCGGUGAAGUCUUAGUACCUGUGAAGAUGCAGGUUACCCGCGACUAGACGGAAAGACCCCAUGGAGCUUCACUGCAGGUUGAUAUUGGGAUUUGAUGCAGCAUGUACAGGAUAGGUAGGAGGCAAAGAGAUGGAUACGCCAGUAUUCAAGGAGCCGCUGUUGGGAUACUACCCCUGUUGUAUUGGAUUUCUAACCGGACGACGUAGAGCCGUUGACGGGACAGUGUCAGUCGGGCAGUUUGACUGGGGCGGUCGCCUCCCAAAGAGUAACGGAGGCGCCCAAAGAUACCCUCAGCUUGGAUGGAAACCAAGCGCAGAGUGCAAAGGCAAAAGGGUGUUUGACUGCGAGACCCACAAGUCGAGCAGGGACGAAAGUCGGGCUUAGUGAUCCGGCGG
Molecule: ribosomal RNA, 1883 nt
Filed under: human gut metagenome
Description: bacterial LSU rRNA
Rfam family: Bacterial large subunit ribosomal RNA
Source: RNAcentral